This 76-nucleotide transfer RNA is filed under the name Deltaproteobacteria bacterium. RNAcentral's name for it is "tRNA-Ala". It matches the Rfam family "tRNA". From Rfam's summary of the family: Transfer RNA (tRNA) molecules are approximately 80 nucleotides in length. Their secondary structure includes four short double-helical elements and three loops (D, anti-codon, and T loops). Lineage: Bacteria; Pseudomonadati; Myxococcota; Myxococcia. The record is from RNAcentral.
GGGGGUGUAGCUCAGUUGGGAGAGCGCAUGAAUGGCAUUCAUGAGGUCAUCGGUUCAAUCCCGUUCACCUCCACCA